Molecule: ribosomal RNA, 440 nt
Filed under: uncultured bacterium
Lineage: Bacteria
Description: partial 16S ribosomal RNA
Rfam family: Bacterial small subunit ribosomal RNA
Source: RNAcentral
CCUACGGGAGGCUGCAGUAGGGAAUUUUGCGCAAUGGGCGAAAGCCUGACGCAGCAACGCCGCGUGAGCGAGACGCCCUUCGGGGUGUAAAGUUCUGUCAGUUGGGACGAAAAAUGACGGUACCCACAGAGGAAGCACCGGCUAACUCCGUGCCAGCAGCCGCGGUAAUACGGAGGGUGCAAGCGUUGUCCGGAAUCAUUGGGCGUAAAGAGGUCGUAGGCGGCAUGUAAAGUCAGGUGGUAAAGGCGCAGGGUCAACCUGUGUAUGGCACUUGAUACUUGCGAGCUGGAAUGCGGUAGAGGUAAAGGGAAUUCCUGGUGUAGCGGUGAAAUGCUUAGAUAUCAGGAGGAACUCCGAUUGCGAAGGCAGCAUACCGGCGCUCAACUGACGCUCAUGCACGAAAGUGUGGGUAUCGAACAGGAUUAGAUACCCUUGUAGUC